Molecule: long non-coding RNA, 1757 nt
Organism: Tupaia belangeri chinensis (Chinese tree shrew)
Lineage: Eukaryota; Metazoa; Chordata; Mammalia; Scandentia; Tupaiidae
Exons: 3
Source: RefSeq, a predicted model, not a curated record
ACCGGCAGUGGGCGCAGGCUCCUGGAGCCCCGCGGGCACUCGGGAGUCGUAGUCCUCGGCGUCAGCACCAGCCCCGGCGGCCUGCAGCAACGCGCGGGGUUCGGACUACAACCCCCAGCAUGCCCGCCCCAAGACCCAGCCCAGUUCCGGAGAAAGGACCCUGCACUGCGGCAUCGGGAUCGCGGAGCAGUAGCAGGUCGAAGCUGUCCAGGGGGAAGGUCUGAUGGUGACUCGUCUUCAAAGGGCCGUCACGGCAGCCAUGCUUCAUCGCUCCUGGAGGUGACGGGGUGAGGAGACCCCUCUGUGGGGACCUUUUCUCACCCACCGGGCGCGGAUGGCUCCGAGAAGGCCGCGCUGUCUUUGUGACAGAGCGCUAGCCCGCUCUUCCCGCUGCCGCCUGAGGACUGGUGCAGGUACUGGAUGCUCCCAGGGAUGGCUCGGCCCUGGCUGUCGUGGGAGGCGUAACUGUGCUCUCUCCUCCCCAGAGUCUCUCCCAGCGGCGCUCUGCCUUCUAGGCCUCCCCUGUGGGUCCUUCCCAGCCCUGCAUUUCCUCAGUUACUCGGUCACCCCUACAGAACUGCGCGCUGCGCUCCCGGAGGACAGGACAGGGCCUUGUUCGCGACAGGAUCUGUGUGCGGUCCCGCGGGUUGUAACGCGGGGCAGGCCUCUCCGUGCUGUCCACAUCGCUUGCUCUCGACCUUCAUGCAUCCUUGCUGGAAAGCACCUGUGCAAAGGGUGUGGCUGAGGAGCCCGGGGCACCAGCCCUGCCCGCACCCAUGGGGACGGUGCCCGCCUGCCCGCCUGUACUCUGUCUAGAGUUCUCUUCCUUUGUUUCUAGAAAAUAAUCUAUAAAACUGAGUCAUGCCAAUCACAGAGGUUGAAGGAGUGUUAUUAGUUAGACCAGAGUCGAGGAGCCCGAGUGCCCGCUCUGCAUCUGUUCCUGGAGGAGGGAAAACUCCAUUUUCCAUACCUAAGCAAGCCUUCUGUGGGGUUCAAGGAGCGUCUGAUGGAUCUCCCCAGUGUUUUGUAACCUGGGACCUGAUUGUUCAGUGUCUGUUGUCUUUUGUCUUUGAAUUGUUAAGACAGUGCAUACCCAGAGUAAAAAUAAUCCAAACAAGAUUUUUAAAAGUACAAAGAAAGUAAGAAUCAUCUGAAAUCCCACCACUUAACAUUUUGGUGAGCGUCCUUCCAUAAAUGCACAGAAUAUGUCGAAGUCACUGUAUAUGAUUGUGCUGUCCUGUAACCUGCUUUAUGCACACACAGUGUGUCAUGGAGGCCUCUCAAGUCUUCAGCCAGAUGCUGGUAUUACCCACUACCUAAACCUGGUUACAUAGUUACAUGAUUACACGUCUUUGCAGCGGAAAAGCACCGGUAGGCCAGCUGCAUGACACAGGCAGCAGUGUGUUGGCCUGCAGUGCUGGAAGCCACACGGUUGACCGUGGGCGUGGAUCCCAAAACACACCAGUUAAAAUACACCAGUUAUGCCCACACCCAAAAUCCUGCUCGCUGGAAGGUUGGGGAGAAGAGGAUCACAGAGUGACGAGACUCUAACAAGUAUGCACUCUCUCUCUCUCUUGUGAAAGAAGAACGAUAAACUUAAAAAAAAAAAAAAUGGCCCUGAAGCCAGAAGAACUCUGAGGCAUCCAUCACCCCUCUUUGUAUAUUUAAUUCUAAUCAUCGCUCAUAUUUGUGUAGUACCUUAGAACUUAAGAAGCAUUUUCCUGUUACUUCAUUUGAUUAUUAAAAAGUGAGAUGAU